RNAcentral lists this ribosomal RNA (468 nucleotides) under uncultured bacterium. RNAcentral describes it as "partial 16S ribosomal RNA". It matches the Rfam family "Bacterial small subunit ribosomal RNA", at positions 28 to 507 of the family's 1533-position model. The record is from RNAcentral.
GACGAACGCUGGCGGCGUGCUUAACACAUGCAAGUCGAACGGAAAGGCCCUGCUCUUGUGGGGUGCUCGAGUGGCGAACGGGUGAGUAACACGUGAGUAACCUGCCCUUGACUUUGGGAUAACUUCAGGAAACUGGGGCUAAUACCGGAUAGGAGCUCCUGCUGCAUGGUGGGGGUUGGAAAGUUUCGGCGGUUGGGGAUGGACUCGCGGCUUAUCAGCUUGUUGGUGGGGUAGUGGCUUACCAAGGCUUUGACGGGUAGCCGGCCUGAGAGGGUGACCGGCCACAUUGGGACUGAGGUACGGCCCAGACUCCUACGGGAGGCAGCAGGGGGGAAUAUUGCACAAUGGGCGGAAGCCUGAGGCAGCAACGCCGCGUGCGGGAUGACGGCCUUCGGGUUGUAAACCGCUUUCGCCUGUGACGAAGCGUGAGUGACGGUAAUGGGUAAAGAAGCACCGGCUAACUACGUG